UGGGGAAUAUUGCACAAUGGGCGCAAGCCUGAUGCAGCCAUGCCGCGUGUGUGAAGAAGGCCUUCGGGUUGUAAAGCACUUUCAGCGAGGAGGAAGGUGGUGAGCUUAAUACGCUCAUCAAUUGACGUUACUCGCAGAAGAAGCACCGGCUAACUCCGUGCCAGCAGCCGCGGUAAUACGGAGGGUGCAAGCGUUAAUCGGAAUUACUGGGCGUAAAGCGCACGCAGGCGGUUUGUUAAGUCAGAUGUGAAAUCCCCGGGCUCAACCUGGGAACUGCAUUUGAAACUGGCAAGCUAGAGUCUCGUAGAGGGGGGUAGAAUUCCAGGUGUAGCGGUGAAAUGCGUAGAGAUCUGGAGGAAUACCGGUGGCGAAGGCGGCCCCCUGGACGAAGACUGACGCUCAGGUGCGAAAGCGUGGGGCAGCAAACAGGAUUAGAUACCCUGGUAGUCCAGCGCUGUAAACGAUGUCGAUUUGGAGGUUGUGCCCUUGAGGCGUGGCUUCCGGAGCUAACGCGUUAAAUCGACCGCCUGGGGGAGUACGGCCGCAAGGUU
Molecule: ribosomal RNA, 551 nt
Filed under: uncultured bacterium
Lineage: Bacteria
Description: partial 16S ribosomal RNA
Rfam family: Bacterial small subunit ribosomal RNA
Source: RNAcentral